Molecule: ribosomal RNA, 229 nt
Filed under: uncultured bacterium
Lineage: Bacteria
Description: partial 16S ribosomal RNA
Rfam family: Bacterial small subunit ribosomal RNA
Source: RNAcentral
UGAGCAACCUGCCCUUGACUCUGGAAUAACAGUUGGAAACAGCUGCUAAUACCGGAUAUGACUUUGUGUGACAUCACACGGAGUGGAAAGCCCUGGCGGUCAAGGAUGGGCUCGCGGCCUAUCAGCUUGUUGGUGAGGUAACGGCUCACCAAGGCUUCGACGGGUAGCCGGCCUGAGAGGGCGACCGGCCACACUGGGACUGAGAUACGGCCCAGACUCCGUAGGGAGG